UACGUAGGGUGCGAGCGUUGUCCGGAAUUACUGGGCGUAAAGAGCUCGUAGGUGGUUUGUCGCGUCGUCUGUGAAAUUCCGGGGCUUAACUUCGGACGUGCAGGCGAUACGGGCAAUACUUGAGUGCUGUAGGGGAGACUGGAAUUCCUGGUGUAGCGGUGGAAUGCGCAGAUAUCAGGAGGAACACCGAUGGCGAAGGCAGGUCUCUGGGCAGUAACUGACGCUGAGGAGCGAAAGCAUGGGUAGCGAACAGGAUUAGA
RNAcentral lists this ribosomal RNA (260 nucleotides) under uncultured prokaryote. RNAcentral describes it as "partial 16S ribosomal RNA". It matches the Rfam family "Bacterial small subunit ribosomal RNA", at positions 524 to 782 of the family's 1533-position model. The record is from RNAcentral.